Molecule: transfer RNA, 69 nt
Filed under: Rattus norvegicus (Norway rat)
Lineage: Eukaryota; Metazoa; Chordata; Mammalia; Rodentia; Muridae
Rfam family: tRNA
About the family: Transfer RNA (tRNA) molecules are approximately 80 nucleotides in length. Their secondary structure includes four short double-helical elements and three loops (D, anti-codon, and T loops).
Source: Rfam by way of RNAcentral
GGGGAUUUAGCUCAGUGGUAGAGCACUUGCCUUGCAAGCACAAGGCCCUGGGUUCGGUCCCCAGCUCCG